AUUUUGUCCGGAGGUUCAGCCACCUCUCUUGUCAAGGCACAGCAGGGGCUGUUGCUUGCCUGGGAACCCUGCCAAAGCUGUAACAGCACUCAAUUCACCUAGCAGGGGCCACCUGCUUCAGGGGCAUUGUGGACCAGUCCUCUGGACACUAGUUUUUGGAAGAAGGGACUUGACAGCCCCGGUGAGUGGUGAGAUUGAGUGGCACCAGGUGGACUGCUUGCCUGAGGCCGCUCACCCCAUGCAACUGC
RNAcentral lists this long non-coding RNA (248 nucleotides) under Homo sapiens (human). RNAcentral describes it as "non-protein coding lnc-ACTL7B-11:5". The record is from RNAcentral. Lineage: Eukaryota; Metazoa; Chordata; Mammalia; Primates; Hominidae.